Molecule: non-coding RNA, 92 nt
Organism: Pholiota molesta
Lineage: Eukaryota; Fungi; Basidiomycota; Agaricomycetes; Agaricales; Strophariaceae
Source: the annotation of a GenBank genome assembly
UCCGGUAUGGUGUAACGGCUAACAUUACCGCCUUUCAUAUGCAUGUCACUGCGCGAUCGCGGUAGCUCGGGGUUCGAUUCCCCGUACCGGAA